AGUGAACGCUGGCGGUAGGCCUAACACAUGCAAGUCGAACGGCAGCACAGUAAGAGCUUGCUCUUACGGGUGGCGAGUGGCGGACGGGUGAGGAAUACAUCGGCAUCUACUUUUUCGUGGGGGAUAAUGUAGGGAAACUUACGCUAAUACCGCAUACGACCUACGGGUGAAAGCAGGGGAUCUUCGGACCUUGCGCGAUUGAAUGAGCCGAUGUCGGAUUAGCUAGUUGGCGGGGUAAAGGCCCACCAAGGCGACGAUCCGUAGCUGGUCUGAGAGGAUGAUCAGCCACACUGGAACUGAGACACGGUCCAGACUCCUACGGGAGGCGGCAGUGGGGAAUAUUGGACAAUGGGCGCAAGCCUGAUCCAGCCAUACCGCGUGGGUGAAGAAGGCCUUCGGGUUGUAAAGCCCUUUUGUUGGGAAAGAAAAGCAGCAGGUUAAUACCCCGCUGUUCUGACGGUACCCAAAGAAUAAGCACCGGCUAACUUCGUG
RNAcentral lists this ribosomal RNA (492 nucleotides) under uncultured bacterium. RNAcentral's name for it is "partial 16S ribosomal RNA". It matches the Rfam family "Bacterial small subunit ribosomal RNA", at positions 29 to 507 of the family's 1533-position model. The record is from RNAcentral.